GAUGAACGCUGGCGGCGUGCCUAAUACAUGCAAGUCGAACGCUUUGUCUUUACUUGCUAUGAAGCGCUUGCUCUGCUUUGAUUUUAUCUGCCAAAGUGUGGCGAACGGGUGAGUAACACGUGGGUAACCUACCUCUUAGCAGGGGAUAACAUUUGGAAACAAGUACUAAUACCGUAUAACACUAACAACCGCAUGGUUGUUAGUUGAAAGAUGGUUCUGCUAUCACUAAGAGAUGGCCCCGCGGUGCUUGAGCUAGCUGGUAUGCGAAUGGCUUACCAAGGGGAGGAUGCGUAGCCGAGUUAGGAGACCGAUCUGCCACAGUAGGAUUGAGACACGGCCCAUAGGCACACGGGAAGAAGCAGACGGGAAUCGUCCACGAUGGGCGCAAGCCUGAUGGAGCAACGCCGCGUGUGUGAUGAAGGGUUUCGGCGCGUAAAACACUGGUAUAAGGGAAGAACGACAUUGAGAGUAACUGUGCAGUGUGUGACGGUAUCUUAUCAGAAAGGAACGGCUAAAUACGUG
This 522-nucleotide ribosomal RNA is filed under the name uncultured bacterium. RNAcentral's name for it is "partial 16S ribosomal RNA". It matches the Rfam family "Bacterial small subunit ribosomal RNA", at positions 28 to 507 of the family's 1533-position model. The record is from RNAcentral.